Triticum aestivum (bread wheat) is the source of this 686-nucleotide long non-coding RNA. RefSeq lists it as uncharacterized. The transcript has 3 exons. NCBI's taxonomy places the organism in Eukaryota, Viridiplantae, Streptophyta, Magnoliopsida, Poales, Poaceae. The record is from RefSeq and is a predicted model, not a curated record.
CCAAGAUCCCAUCGUCUUCUUCCCUCGGCUCUUCUCCCUUCUGUACCUGUACACCGACGAUUUGCAAGCUAGGGUUAUCGAUUUGCUUCGUCGCCUCUCUCCCCUGCAUCUCCCCCUCUGCUGGGCCACUCUAAUCUUCUCCCUCUCGUGUAUACUACCUAGUUCCAGCUCCGUACAAGUGCCCCCUCUCCCCUGAAAUGGCCGCGCCAGCGACGAGCGCUUACAUGUAGCGUCGCCGUGCUGUGGGAUCUGGGCAACAUUGAGCCAGCCAAUGCAAAGCCGGCCAUCUUCUGCAGCUUAAAGUAUCCAGGCUUGCAGGAAUGAAGAGCAGACAUUAAGGUCAAGAUCUGGAACAAAAAUAUAUUUUUUGUAAUGUCAGUACUGUCAGCAUGUUAGCUGCAAGCUCAUCUAUAAUUGCAUCCACUUUGUCUCUUCCAGCCAGCCAAGAUAUCUCUGUCAGGUGAUGAGGGGAGCUGCUAAUUCAGGAUAUAUUGGCAUCUGAAACGUAAUGUAUCUCUUGUAGUAAAGUGAUUGGUAAUAGAACAUGGUGGACCUUCUGUUUAAGAGCCGUGUAGAACAGAGCUAUCCUUAUGAAAUAUGUAUGUCAUAUAUGUACACAAUGAGUGAAUCCGACUGCUUAUACGAAAGCGGUGUACAAGAAAUUUAAAUAUGGUACUGUUAAGUUU